This is a non-coding RNA of Acanthosepion pharaonis, 108 nucleotides long. NCBI's taxonomy places the organism in Eukaryota, Metazoa, Mollusca, Cephalopoda, Sepiida, Sepiidae. The record is from the annotation of a GenBank genome assembly.
AGCCACAUCACGUUGAAACGCAGCUUCCCGUACGAUCACCGACGUUAAGCAACGUCGAACCUGGUCAGUAUCUAGAUGGGUGACCGCUAGGGAAUACCAGGUGUUGUA